UUCUGCUUCUGAAUUCUGCUGGAGGUGUUUGUGUUUGUUUGUGAGUGUGGGGCGGCUGGAGCUGCAAGACAAAGGCGCAUAUUUAUAGCGGCAGCAGAGCACAGCACAACACAGCAGCCAGAUGUUAUCGUCGUCGUCGUCGUCGUGAUCUUUUUUUGAUCUCUCAAGCAAAGCAAAGCAAGGAAACGUCCGUUGCUGCUUUCAUCCUUUUUUGUUGUUUUGCUGAAACUGGCCUGGGUGUCGUGUUCUGGAGAGCAGUCAACGAUUCUUAGCUGCGGCAUGGGGCGGAGUACCGCCAGUGGCAGUGGCAGCGAGUGAGUGACAGAGAUUGAACACCACCACUCACUCUCACUCUGACACAUCGAAUCAAUCAGUCCAGUCAGUCAGUCAGUCAAUGAGUCAGAGUGCAUAACUGAAAAGGCAUGCGUCGUGAAAAGGCUCAAGCUAGAAGCAGUGCCUGCCCUCUCUGCACUGAUGAGCCAACAGGAGAUGAUGGAAAAAGAUUAUGCUGUGAUGCUGGGCUCUCUGCUGCUGCUGAUUUCUAUAUAUAUUAAUUUAUAUUAAUUGUUAAAUAUAUAUGUAUUUAUAUAAAAAACGUAUAAAUAUAAUAUUUCGACGACUAA
Long non-coding RNA from Brachypodium distachyon (stiff brome), 623 nucleotides. RefSeq lists it as uncharacterized. The transcript is spliced from 2 exons. The record is from RefSeq and is a predicted model, not a curated record. Lineage: Eukaryota; Viridiplantae; Streptophyta; Magnoliopsida; Poales; Poaceae.